Molecule: ribosomal RNA, 816 nt
Filed under: uncultured Gammaproteobacteria bacterium
Lineage: Bacteria; Pseudomonadati; Pseudomonadota; Gammaproteobacteria
Description: bacterial SSU rRNA
Rfam family: Bacterial small subunit ribosomal RNA
Source: RNAcentral
AGGUUUUCGGACUGAGUACAGCGGCGGACGGGUGAGUAACGCGUAGGAAUCUACCCAGUAGUGGGGGACAACUUAGGGAAACUUAAGCUAAUACCGCAUACGCCCUAUGGGGGAAAGCGGGGGAUCUUCGGACCUCGCGCUAUUGGAAGAGCUUGCGUUAGAUUAGCUAGUUGGUGGGGUAAAGGCUCACCAAGGCGACGAUCUAUAGCUGGUCUGAGAGGAUGAUCAGCCACACUGGGACUGAGACACGGCCCAGACUCCUACGGGAGGCAGCAGUGGGGAAUAUUGCGCAAUGGGCGAAAGCCUGACGCAGCCAUGCCGCGUGUGUGAAGAAGGCCUUAGGGUUGUAAAGCACUUUCAAUUGGGAGGAAGGAUUUAGCGUUAAUAGCGUUAAAUUCUGACGUUACCUUUAGAAGAAGCACCGGCUAACUCCGUGCCAGCAGCCGCGGUAAUACGGAGGGUGCGAGCGUUAAUCGGAAUUACUGGGCGUAAAGCGCGCGUAGGCGGUUUGUUAAGUCGGAUGUGAAAUCCCCGGGCUCAACCUGGGAACUGCACCCGAUACUGAUCGACUUGAGUGCGAGAGAGGGAGGUAGAAUUCCAUGUGUAGCGGUGAAAUGCGUAGAUAUAUGGAGGAAUACCGGUGGCGAAGGCGGCCUCCUGGCUCGACACUGACGCUGAGGUGCGAAAGCGUGGGUAGCAAACAGGAUUAGAUACCCUGGUAGUCCACGCCGUANACGAUGUCUACUAGCCGUUGGGGAACUUGAUUCUUUAGUGGCGCAGCUAACGCAAUAAGUAGACCGCCUGGGGAGUACGGCC